UGGGGAAUGGAGGAAGCUUAGGAAGAGGAGGGCAUGGCUUCUUGUGAAAUGGAGGGAUUUUUGGGAUUGGAGGAAGAGGCUUGUAAAAGGUUGGUGGUUUGGGUUUAUAGGUCGGAACCGGAGGUGGUUUAUAAACUGGCGGUUUUGGUGUCGGCGUGUAGAUAGGAACAGGAGGUGGUUUAUAAACUGGCGGUUUUGGUGUUGGCGUGUAGAUAGGAACAGGAGGCGGCUUGUAGACUGGUGGCUUAGGUUUUGGCUUGUAAACUGGUGGUUUAGGUGGAAAAGGUUUCUUGACAGGUGGACAUGGUUUUUUCGUUGGUACUGGUGGCGGAAGAGGCUUUAUUGGUGCUGGUGGCGGCUUGUAGACUGGUACUGGCGGAGGGUAAACUUUUGGUGGUGGCUUAUAGACUGGUACUGGUGGAGGGAGUACCUUUGGUGGUGGCUUGUAGACUGGAACUGGUGGAGGGAGUACCUUUGGUGGGGGCUUGUAGACGGGAACUGGAGGAGGGAAUUCCUUUGGUGGUGGCUUGUACACUGGAACUGGUGGAGGGAAUUCCUUUGGUGGUGACUUGUAGACUGGAACUGGUGGUGGAAGUGGUUUAGGAGGGAAAACCUUAGGUGGGAAUGGAGGAUAAACCUUAGGUGGGAAUGGAGGAUAAACCUUUGGAGGAAAUGGAGGGUAAACCUUUGGAGGAAAGGGAGGAAAAACCUUAGGAGGGAAUGGAGGGAAGACCUUAGGAGGGAAUAGGUAUGGAUGAUGGCCAAAGUUUUUCAGUGGGGGAAAUUUCCACUUAUGCAAAGGUGGGAAUUUGGGUAGUGGUGGGUACUUGAAAUGAGGCCAUAAGAAAGCUGAAGUGCAUGUCACUGAUGAAAAUCUCAGUUUUCCUGCCAACCCAAAUGUGUGUUUUCCAUUGUUUUUGGACUUCAACACAAUCUUGGACGACUCGAGGCCACUAUGGGUAGGGCAUGGUGCAGCUGAGGCACUGUGAAGUUGAGCAUAGCAUUCUUCUUUCAGUUUCCCUUUUUUUACCAAAUGACUAGGAAGACCCACUGUGAAUCUUCCUUCUUCAUCUAGCUCACCAACUCCUCUUGUUUUGAACUCCCCAUUUUCUG
RNAcentral lists this long non-coding RNA (1113 nucleotides) under Ricinus communis (castor bean). RNAcentral describes it as "long non-coding RNA (RCOM_LNC002419)". The record is from RNAcentral. Lineage: Eukaryota; Viridiplantae; Streptophyta; Magnoliopsida; Malpighiales; Euphorbiaceae.